This 211-nucleotide ribosomal RNA is filed under the name uncultured bacterium. RNAcentral's name for it is "partial 16S ribosomal RNA". It matches the Rfam family "Bacterial small subunit ribosomal RNA", at positions 1290 to 1500 of the family's 1533-position model. The record is from RNAcentral.
AGUUCGGAUUGUAGUCUGCAACCCGACUACAUGAAGCUGGAAUCGCUAGUAAUCGCAGGUCAGCAUACUGCGGUGAAUACGUUCCCGGGUCUUGUACACACCGCCCGUCACACCAUGGGAGCCGGAAAUGCCCGAAGCCAGUGACCCAACCUUAGGGAGGGAGCUGUCGAAGGUGGAGCCGGUAACUGGGGUGAAGUCGUAACAAGGUACC